RNAcentral lists this long non-coding RNA (1095 nucleotides) under Capra hircus (goat). RNAcentral's name for it is "lncRNA (ENSCHIG00000005561.1)". The record is from RNAcentral. Lineage: Eukaryota; Metazoa; Chordata; Mammalia; Artiodactyla; Bovidae.
GACUUAGCAACUGAACGGCAACAGUCAUGUAUAAAGUGGGACUGGAGCUCAGGUGAGUAGCAGAUGAUGGAGACAGAGAUUGGAGGGUCUCUGGCUCAAAGGUGAGAGCUGAGGUCAUCGGAGUGGAUGAAAUCGAUCUGGACAAGUAUAUCAUGAAACAAAACAGCCGAAGACAGACUCUCAGGUUGGCAUGUCGGUUAAACCAAAUGCAGCCCAGCACAAAGGUUCUUACCUGCCAACUGCUGUCAGCGUCAUCUGGUGACCCUUCCUACAAACAGACCAUCUGACCUAGGGAUGAUCACACCGAACAGACACCACAGAGCUUCAUAAGAGCCACAUCCAGGUCCACAGAUCGUCCCCAGCUGAGAGUACUUUCCCGAUGUCAGUGACCAGCAGGUCUGCCACCAAUGUCCAGCAAGAACCCCUGCUCAUCAACCGCAACUAAUAUGGUGCCCAUUGACGCUUCAGUGGGAUAAACCCAUCUGGAGUCCAUAGUUCAGCCAGGCCCGCUGUACAAUCAACCGCUUAUGGACAACUUUCACCUCAAAGGCUAACAAUGGUUGAGUCUCCCCCAGUAACGAGGGUGGCAUGCCAGACAAGUAUAGAAAGAAGGAAGGGGAAGAAGGGGAACUAAAGGAAGAAGGAAAGAACUCCAUCUCAGUGCUGGUAUUUGGUUCAGCACUAAAUUAAACCAGCCCAGAAUCUCGCCCAGAUAGCAGUGAAACACGGUCUCGAUACAGCAUCAUUGUGCUUGUGAAAUAAGAAUCAUUAUAAGCACCAAUACACUCGAUUUCUUUCACUUCCCUUUUUCCGUGCACAUCUCACCUCCUUAAAAUUGAGUCCUUAUAAUGUGCCUGUGUCCAAAGUCACAGAAUUAGGGCAGAAAACCAGGAAACUAUGGUAGGAGCAUCAAAACACAAGCUGGAUUAGGGAGACGCCUUAAAAUUGAAAAAACUCUGAACACUGACCAUUCAGUUUCAUCUUUUAAUCAAAAGGAGACAAAUGGGAGGGUCCACAUGUGACAAUACCUCCCCCCUCAGAGAAGAGGCCCUUUAUCGAGGGUUAGUCCAAGGUUCUACUCUCCCGUCUUAUUUU